Molecule: ribosomal RNA, 536 nt
Filed under: Rhodococcus sp. CMT815
Lineage: Bacteria; Bacillati; Actinomycetota; Actinomycetes; Mycobacteriales; Nocardiaceae
Description: bacterial SSU rRNA
Rfam family: Bacterial small subunit ribosomal RNA
Source: RNAcentral
CUACGGGAGGCAGCAGUGGGGAAUAUUGCACAAUGGGCGCAAGCCUGAUGCAGCGACGCCGCGUGAGGGAUGACGGCCUUCGGGUUGUAAACCUCUUUCAGCAGGGACGAAGCGUGAGUGACGGUACCUGCAGAAGAAGCACCGGCCAACUACGUGCCAGCAGCCGCGGUAAUACGUAGGGUGCAAGCGUUGUCCGGAAUUACUGGGCGUAAAGAGCUCGUAGGCGGUUUGUCGCGUCGUCUGUGAAAACCAGCAGCUCAACUGUUGGCUUGCAGGCGAUACGGGCAGACUUGAGUAUUUCAGGGGAGACUGGAAUUCCUGGUGUAGCGGUGAAAUGCGCAGAUAUCAGGAGGAACACCGGUGGCGAAGGCGGGUCUCUGGGAAAUAACUGACGCUGAGGAGCGAAAGCGUGGGUAGCGAACAGGAUUAGAUACCCUGGUAGUCCACGCCGUAAACGGUGGGCGCUAGGUGUGGGUUUCCUUCCACGGGAUCCGUGCCGUAGCUAACGCAUUAAGCGCCCCGCCUGGGGAGUACGG